AGAUUGAACGCUGGCGGCAUGCCUUACACAUGCAAGUCGAACGGCAGCACGGGGGCAACCCUGGUGGCGAGUGGCGAACGGGUGAGUAAUGGCAUCGGAACGUGCCCAGUAGUGGGGGAUAACUAGUCGAAAGAUUAGCUAAUACCGCAUACGACCUAUGGGUGAAAGCGGGGGAUUCGCAAGAACCUCGCGCUAUCGGAGCGGCCGAUGUCUGAUUAGCUAGUUGGCGGGUAAAAGCCCACCAAGGCUUACGAUCAGUAGCGUGUCUGAGAGGACGACCAGCCACACUGGACUGAGACACGGCCCAGACUCCGUACGGACGGCAGCGAGGUGGGAAUUUGGACA
This 345-nucleotide ribosomal RNA is filed under the name uncultured soil bacterium. Its description in RNAcentral is "bacterial SSU rRNA". It matches the Rfam family "Bacterial small subunit ribosomal RNA", at positions 26 to 370 of the family's 1533-position model. The record is from RNAcentral.